UGGGGAAUAUUGCACAAUGGGGGAAACCCUGAUGCAGCGACGCCGCGUGAACGAAGAAGGUAUUCGUAUCGUAAAGUUCUGUCCUAUGGGAAGAUAAUGACAGUACCAUAGAAGAAAGCUCCGGCUAAAUACGUGCCAGCAGCCGCGGUAAUACGUAUGGAGCGAGCGUUGUCCGGAAUUAUUGGGCGUAAAGGGUACGCAGGCGGUUUAAUAAGUCGAAUGUUAAAGAUCGGGGCUCAACCCCGCAAAGCAUUGGAAACUGAUAAACUUGAGUAGUGGAGAGGAAAGUGGAAUUCCUAGUGUAGUGGUGAAAUACGUAGAUAUUAGGAGGAAUACCAGUAGCGAAGGCGACUUACUGGACACAAACUGACGCUGAGGUACGAAAGCGUGGGGAGCAAACAGG
Molecule: ribosomal RNA, 403 nt
Filed under: bacterium
Lineage: Bacteria
Description: partial 16S ribosomal RNA
Rfam family: Bacterial small subunit ribosomal RNA
Source: RNAcentral